This 400-nucleotide ribosomal RNA is filed under the name uncultured bacterium. RNAcentral describes it as "bacterial SSU rRNA". It matches the Rfam family "Bacterial small subunit ribosomal RNA", at positions 355 to 751 of the family's 1533-position model. The record is from RNAcentral.
UAAGGAAUAUUGGACAAUGGAGGGAACUCUGAUCCAGCCAUGCCGCGUGAAGGAUGAAGGCGCUCAGCGUUGUAAACUUCUUUUGAAUGGGAACAAAACCCCCAAUGCGUUGGGGUCUGAGGGUACCAUUAGAAUAAGCACCGGCUAACUCCGUGCCAGCAGCCGCGGUAAUACGGAGGGUGCAAGCGUUAUCCGGAAUCACUGGGUUUAAAGGGUGCGUAGGCGGUUAUAUAAGUCAGUCGUGAAAUACCUUUGCUUAACAGACGGAACUGCGAUUGAUACUGUAUAACUUGAAAGAGGUUUAGGCUGGCGGAAUGAGACAUGUAGCGGUGAAAUGCAUAGAUAUGUCUUAGAACACCGAUUGCGAAGGCAGCUGGCUGGGCCUGAUUUGACGCUGAGG